This 299-nucleotide long non-coding RNA is filed under the name Dromaius novaehollandiae (emu). RNAcentral describes it as "lncRNA (ENSDNVG00000018262.1)". Lineage: Eukaryota; Metazoa; Chordata; Aves; Casuariiformes; Dromaiidae. The record is from RNAcentral.
CGAGGAAGGGAUUUUCUUAGCUGAUAUUUGCUUCAUUUUCAGCGUUUCUCCAUCUGUUUUAAUUUCAGGCUGUUGGACAUCAUGCUCCAAGGCAGAGUUGAAGAAGCAACACCAAGCAGUGAUGCAGUUGUCACAGUGGAAGGAAAGAGCCUAAAACAAGUUCUCAUCCUACAGUUAUUCCUCCUGCUGUCAAACUGGUUUACUCUACAAUGACUCUUGAGGUUACUUUUCAUACAAGGAAAAAAACCCUAAGAUCUGUUUCCUAGCUUUCAUCCUUCAGAAACUGGUCACUACAAGCU